This 753-nucleotide small RNA is filed under the name Pongo abelii (Sumatran orangutan). Its description in RNAcentral is "retained intron". The record is from RNAcentral. Lineage: Eukaryota; Metazoa; Chordata; Mammalia; Primates; Hominidae.
UUGGUCUUCCUGUUAUUUAACAUGACUUAAUAUUCUACAGGAGUGGGGAUAGCUUUGCGAAAAAUGGGUGCAAUGGCCAAGCCAGAUUGUAUCAUCACUUGUGAUGGCAAAAACCUCACCAUAAAAACUGAGAGCACUUUGAAAACAACACAGUUUUCUUGUACCCUGGGAGAGAAGUUUGAAGAAACCACAGCUGAUGGCAGAAAAACUCAGACUGUCUGCAACUUUACAGAUGGUGCAUUGGUUCAGCAUCAGGAGUGGGAUGGGAAGGAAAGCACAAUAACAAGAAAAUUGAAAGAUGGGAAAUUAGUGGUGGUGAGUGUCAAACUGCUGUGUCUCAGUCAGCUUCUUGUGUGCAUUUAUAGUUCACAUAACUGUUCUAUAUCAUUGAUCAUUAACAGAACUCAGUUUGGAAGAAAAAAAAGCAAAAUAACAAAUUAAAUACUAGAACACUAAUUAUUAAGAAAGUCCUAGAGGAGAUAGAGAAGUGACAUGACAUAGGAAAGGAUUUGGCUGUAGUUGGGGGGAGUUCUUGCUUUGCUGCCACAUCACAGUGAAAUCUUGGCAAGCCACCAAACUGCACACAUUUUUCUAUAUCUUUAAAAUAAGGAAUAUUUGCCAUAACCAAAAGAAUAAAGAUAUAUUCAACACAGUUUUCUGUAAAACAUGCAUAUUAUAAGCAAAACAACAGCUUCUGGCUUCUCUCAAACCCAUGAAUUCUGAAAGAAAUUUUCUCCAUCUAUGAAGUAGGUU